Molecule: ribosomal RNA, 102 nt
Filed under: uncultured bacterium
Lineage: Bacteria
Description: partial 16S ribosomal RNA
Source: RNAcentral
CUGAUAAGAGUUUUACUCCUUAAAAGCUUAUUCAUUCUCGCAGCAUUGCUGCAAUCGGGUUUCCCCAAUUGGGCAAUAAUCCCCACUGCUGCCUCCCGUAAG